AACAGUACUAGGAUACUCCUGUGCAAUACUAGGAUAGAAGAGUGCAGAAGAAAGGCAUAUUUGGAUGGAAGACAACUGAGUUGGUUUUUCUAUCACUCUUAGUUUACUGUGAAUGAGGGGGCUUUUGAAAAAUCUCUUAAAAUGGGAUUAAGGUUAAAUCAGGCUAAUUUAUUAAAGAAGAAAUAAAAAAGCUAUCACAGGAACUUCUUGUUGAAUUGACAUGGAAUGAUCCCCUUACUAGAUUCAGAAUGAACCAAAUUAUAAUUCAGAUUGAACCCCUGUACUAAGAAUAUUAUAACUGUUUGUAGUGGGAUGACGGUAAGUUUUAAUUAUAUCAGUUGUAUUGUUUUGUAAAAUAUUUAUGUAAGUAUUUGCUUCAUAUGUCAGGAAAUGAAAGCGACAAACUCAUGCAUAUUCUAGACCCUACAUCUCUUCACAAACGAUCUCUUAGAGUAAAUACUAACUUAACUGGAGGACAUUCAUCUACAUAUACUACCUACCAUUUGUAUUUGUAUUGCUGUAGCUAAUAUGCAAAAACACAUUUUUCCUAUUCAUUUCUGAUGGCCUUGAGUGGCUGUUAUGUCUGGUGAUAUCUUCGAAGAUGCCAAGGACAGGACAUGACAACCUAUCAUGUCAACUAUAAUCAUGUGGCUACCAUAUUAGGUUUCAUCAAAAACCUUGAAAAAAUGUCAGCGGUAACAAACCGUGUUCAAUCGUCACCAUAUUUGGCACAGAUCAUCUUCAGGCAAACCCAGACGGACUUUUUACUUUCAAAACUGUUUGUCCGUUACAGCCUACUGAAUGUGCCGGCGAAUUUGCCAAACAUUAAGUGAUCUCAUAUCUCGGCCAAUCUUUGGUCAAUUGACAUAAAACUUUCUGUGAGUGCUUCUGACCAUUAUGUCCUUGACAUAGUCACAUCAAGUGUCCGUAGCAACUAUGCCCUGCUGGGUUGCUUUGCGCUUGCAGCUAUAUUUACUUCUUUGUUUUUAUUGUUUUUUUUUGCCUUAUCGUGAUAUUUGGAGAGUCUUGUUGUUGUGCCAUUUUCAGAAUCCUCUCUUUUGUUAUAAAUUGUUCUUAUUAAAUAUAUUGUAUGACCUUUUGUGCCGUAUGAAAAGAUGCUAUUUAUACCAUUCAUGUGUAUAUGUGACCCUUACAACUAUACUUUCUUCCCCAAAUAAACAUGCUCUAAAGCUCUACUGACCUCUGACAGGAAAUUAUUGUUAUUGUUUUUCAUUUUGCAAGUAUUUUUAGAAGUAAAUAUGUAUUCAUUAGUAAGUUUGCAAGUAUUUAUUUCUAGUUCUUGGUGUUCUGAUGAACCCUCCACAUGCUUGUGUUUCCAUGUGCUGUCAUUAGUCAGGCACAGGUAAAGAGCUGUUCCACCGCUGAGUGUCAGUAGUCAGGCACAGGUAAAGAGCUGUUCUAUCCCUGAGUGUCAGUCAUUAGUCAGGCACAGGUAAAGAGCUGUUCUACCCCUGAGUGUCUCUGAGUAGCUCUGCCAGGUCCUAUCCUGAUUGUUCAUUGUUUUUUCACA
This is a long non-coding RNA of Clupea harengus (Atlantic herring), 1531 nucleotides long. The record is from Ensembl. Lineage: Eukaryota; Metazoa; Chordata; Actinopteri; Clupeiformes; Clupeidae.